Non-coding RNA from Caerostris extrusa, 107 nucleotides. The record is from the annotation of a GenBank genome assembly. NCBI's taxonomy places the organism in Eukaryota, Metazoa, Arthropoda, Arachnida, Araneae, Araneidae.
ACAGCCAUACCAUGCUGAAUAUACCUGUUCUAGAUCACCGAAGUCAAGCAUCAUUGGGCGCGGUCAGUACUUGGGUGGGUGACCACCUGGGAACACUGCGUGCCGUU